RNAcentral lists this small RNA (83 nucleotides) under Xanthomonas translucens pv. translucens. Its description in RNAcentral is "isrK". The record is from RNAcentral. Lineage: Bacteria; Pseudomonadati; Pseudomonadota; Gammaproteobacteria; Lysobacterales; Lysobacteraceae.
GCCGCGUCAAAUCACGCAGCCGGGCUUGGCAGCCCGAUCACUCAGGCGCACCAGCGCCCAUCUUCGAUGCCCGGCGCUUUUUU